RNAcentral lists this ribosomal RNA (497 nucleotides) under uncultured bacterium. RNAcentral describes it as "partial 16S ribosomal RNA". It matches the Rfam family "Bacterial small subunit ribosomal RNA", at positions 28 to 507 of the family's 1533-position model. The record is from RNAcentral.
GAUGAACGCUGGCGGCGUGCCUAAUACAUGCAAGUCGAGCGAACGGACGAGAAGCUUGCUUCUCUGAUGUUAGCGGCGGACGGGUGAGUAACACGUGGAUAACCUACCUAUAAGACUGGGAUAACUUCGGGAAACCGGAGCUAAUACCGGAUGAUAUUUUGAACCGCAUGGUUCAAAAGUGAAAGACGGUCUUGCUGUCACUUAUAGAUUGAUCCGCGCUGCAUUAGCUAGUUGGUAAGGUAACGGCUUACCAAGGCAACGAUGCAUAGCCGACCUGAGAGGGUGAGCGGCCGGGCUGGGAGGGAGACAGGGUGCAGACUCCUACGGGAGGCAGCAGUAGGGAAUCUUCCGCAAUGGGCGAAAGCCUGACGGAGCAACGCCGCGUGAGUGAUGAAGGUCUUCGGAUCGUAAAACUCUGUUAUUAGGGAAGAACAUAUGUGUAAGUAACUGUGCACAUCUUGACGGUACCUAAUCAGAAAGCCACGGCUAACUACGUG